RNAcentral lists this ribosomal RNA (395 nucleotides) under Gemella haemolysans. Its description in RNAcentral is "bacterial SSU rRNA". It matches the Rfam family "Bacterial small subunit ribosomal RNA", at positions 383 to 774 of the family's 1533-position model. Lineage: Bacteria; Bacillati; Bacillota; Bacilli; Caryophanales; Gemellaceae. The record is from RNAcentral.
CUGACGAGCACGCCGCGUGAGUGAGAGGAUUUCGGUUCGUAAAGCUCUGUUGUUAGGGAAGAAUGAUUGUGUAGUAACUAUACACAGUAGAGACGGUACCUAACCAGAAAGCCACGGCUAACUACGUGCCAGCAGCCGCGGUAAUACGUAGGUGGCAAGCGUUGUCCGGAAUUAUUGGGCGUAAAGCGCGCGCAGGUGGUUUAAUAAGUCUGAUGUGAAAGCCCACGGCUCAACCGUGGAGGGUCAUUGGAAACUGUUAAACUUGAGUGCAGGAGAGAAAAGUGGAAUUCCUAGUGUAGCGGUGAAAUGCGUAGAGAUUAGGAGGAACACCAGUGGCGAAGGCGGCUUUUUGGCCUGUAACUGACACUGAGGCGCGAAAGCGUGGGGAGCAAACA